CAUUUUCUCAACCCAAGUCAAACAACAUCGUUGUGAUAGAUUCUUGGAAGUUAAGCAGCGCAGUCCCGAGGUUACAUGCAGCAGAGUCCAGGGCUGGGAAUGAGGGGAACCAGGUGGAGUCCGGCUGACAAGCAGCAAGUGUGACACCUCAAAUGGCACAUACGACUUCUAGAUCCCUGCCGCAAGGGAGAAGAACCUCUCCAUCAAGAGGCUUCUAUUCCAUGGCUGCUUAUCUCUAUUUUCUGAAGCGGUGCUGUACAAUACAUCACAGUGAUCCAGAAGGAAGAGGAGAAUUUUCAACUGCUGUGCAUGGGUUUCUCUGGGUAGCUCUGGCUGUCCUGGAACUCACUCUAUAGACUGCAUUGGUUUUGAACCCAGCAAUCUGCAUGUGUCUACCUCUGGAGUGCUGGAUUUAAAGGCAUGUGCUAGUAUCACCUGGCUUCUGUCCUGACUUCUGAAACUCAACAUUAGUCUUUUUGAUUUUUUUUUCUUUCUUUUUGCGCACAUGCAAUGCAGUGCACAAAGAGGCCGGAAGAGGACACCAGAUUCCUGAAACUGCAGUUAAGGAUGCUUGUAAGCCCCCAUGUGGGGGCUGGAAACCCCACCCCCAAACCCUGAUCCUCUGCUGGAGCACCCCUGGGCCUUCUCUCCAGCUUCCACACAUUGGCCUAAUGUGAAUUUUGAGAUUUAUGUAAAGAGGUGUAUAUAAAAUGGGCUAGCGGUCUCAGUACGGCUUUUGUGAGGUUUAACCAGUGUUGUGUACGGAAGCAGUUCAUCUUCUUUGCUCUACAGUCUCCAUGUCCAAGGAACACAUGCUUUAAGUCUCAGUCUUUAGCUUACAGAUGGCCAUGUAUUACUAUGUAUAAAUAUGUUGACUUAAUAUGUGGAUAUGUUACGAAAAGAUCGGUUCAGGCUAAUUAUCAUAUCCAUCACUCCAAACAUCCACUAUUUCCUUGUGGUGGGAACAUUAACACUUCUCCCAUUCAGUGAUUUGGCGGUCCAAGGCACAUAGCCAUUAUCCAUUAUUGUUCCCUGUGGUCGCCCCAUUGUGCAGUAAAGCACCAGAGGGGCUUCAUCUUCCUCUCACCGAAUCUUUAUAGUGUUUUACAUCACUCUUCGUCAUAUCUGGUUUCCAGGUUAGUGUCAUUUUUUUUUUAAACUAUCUCGUAUAAUACCGCUGUCCAGGUUUAUAUACCCACUUGUGCUUGCGUCAGCUGGUUCACAGACACACCUAAGGAUAGAGUCUCUGGUGUACAGGGUAGGUGGGUAAGCCUCAGUCACUGACGGUGGCAAUUUUUCUGUUUAUCCUAGUUCGUAUUCUGAAUCUCCCGCAUUUCUUUGUCCCACCCCUGACUCUGACAGUCUAUUUAGUUUUUGCCACUCUGGUGGGUGGAGACUUACCCUUAUUCUAUGGAUUUAGUUUUACAUUACCCUAAUGACGAUUGAACUGAAAAUGUUUUUGCAUAUGAACUGGCCUUUGUGUAUUAUUUUUUAAGUAUGUUGCCGAGUCUGUGGCUUCAUUUCCUAUGAACCGGUCUGUGUCUUCCUUGGUGCAGUAUGUUGAGUUUUUGCACAUUCUGGGUCAGACUUCUGAUUUUUCUUUGCAGAAGAGACUACCCACUGAGCCACAUUCCCAGCCCUCUGGAUGAGCCUUCUUGCCACAGUGUGUACACUUUGCAGACACCUCCUCACAGCCUGAUGCCUUUUCAUUUUCCACGUUAUGUUUGUAAUUUCUGAACAAAUUACACUUUUCUUUCUUAUUUUCAGUGCUUUAUGGUUGCCGUUUGUGUAUCUGAGGUUGUGAAGAUAUAGUUCUGUGGUGGUUCAGGACUCAUACAAUUUAGAUCUCAACUCUGCUGCAGUGUUUAUACCAAAAAUGCUUGUUAAGUGGGCUAAUGUGCUGAGUACAGUUUUUAUCCUUCAGUUUUGUAUUUAAUGUGGAGUAGAAUGCUGUCUUUCCCACCUGUACAAAUGUACAAAUAGAUAGUUUAUUGAAAAGCAUCCAUUUCACCUGCAGUGUCCACUUUGAUAUAAGUCAAAUAUUCAUGUAUAUGUUUCUGUCGUGGAUUGUUUUACUGGCUUAUCUUCUGCUUUUAUAACCAUAGCAUACUGUUUAGCUCACUAAAAUUUAUCAUAAAAUAUUCAUGUCCAGUACAGCAGGAAUAGCGUUGGCUGUGUUCUUGCUCAUGAGCAACUGGGUUGCACAUAUGCUUUCGAAUCUACUCAGUCUUCAGAAGAAUGUCUACUGGGAAUUAGCUAAAAUUAAAUUAAAUCUGUAGAUCAAUUUGGAGGGCGUUGGCGUCUCUAUUGUAAUGGCUCUUCUAGCAUAGGAACAUGGGAAGUCUAUCCGUUCGCUCUGAGCUAUGUUUUAAAAUCCGGAUGCCCAGGUGGUACACGUGUUUGCUUAGGCUCAACCUAAGAUACUUCAGUUUUAUGAUGCCAAAUAAAUUCUAUGUUCCUUGUAUUUCUGGUUAAACAAAAGUCUAUGCUAAACUGUUUUUGUACAGUGCAAAUAAAAUCCAUCUUUGU
Molecule: long non-coding RNA, 2529 nt
Organism: Psammomys obesus (fat sand rat)
Lineage: Eukaryota; Metazoa; Chordata; Mammalia; Rodentia; Muridae
Exons: 4
Source: RefSeq, a predicted model, not a curated record